RNAcentral lists this ribosomal RNA (253 nucleotides) under uncultured bacterium. RNAcentral's name for it is "partial 16S ribosomal RNA". It matches the Rfam family "Bacterial small subunit ribosomal RNA", at positions 524 to 776 of the family's 1533-position model. The record is from RNAcentral.
UACGUAGGGCGCAAGCGUUGUCCGGAAUUAUUGGGCGUAAAGAGCUCGUAGGCGGUUUGUCGCGUCUGCUGUGAAAACCUCAGGCUCAACCUGGGGCUUGCAGUGGGUACGGGCAGACUAGAGUGCGGUAGGGGUGACUGGAAUUCCUGGUGUAGCGGUGGAAUGCGCAGAUAUCAGGAGGAACACCGAUGGCGAAGGCAGGUCACUGGGCCGCAACUGACGCUGAGGAGCGAAAGCUAGGGGAGCAAACGGG